RNAcentral lists this ribosomal RNA (469 nucleotides) under uncultured bacterium. Its description in RNAcentral is "partial 16S ribosomal RNA". It matches the Rfam family "Bacterial small subunit ribosomal RNA", at positions 28 to 507 of the family's 1533-position model. The record is from RNAcentral.
GACGAACGCUGGCGGCGUGCUUAACACAUGCAAGUCGAACGGAAAGGCCCUGCUUUUGUGGGGUGCUCGAGUGGCGAACGGGUGAGUAACACGUGAGUAACCUGCCCUUGACUUUGGGAUAACUUCAGGAAACUGGGGCUAAUACCGGAUAGGAGCUCCUGCUGCAUGGUGGGGGUUGGAAAGUUUCGGCGGUUGGGGAUGGACUCGCGGCCUAUCAGCUUGUUGGUGGGGUAGUGGCUUACCAAGGCUUUGACGGGUAGCCGGCCUGAGAGGGUGACCGGCCACAUUGGGACUGAGAUACGGCCCAGACUCCUACGGGAGGCAGCAGUGGGGAAUAUUGCACAAUGGGUGGAAGCCUGAUGCAGCAACGCCGUGUGCGGGAUGACGGCCUUCGGGUUGUAAACCGCUUUCCCUCAUGACGAAGCUUUGUGUGACGGUAGUGGGUAAAGAAGCACCGGCUAACUACGUG